GGGGUUGACUGGAUUUGACGGCGAGAUGAGAUGGUACGUAAGCACGCGGAGGCUCGAGGGUUCCCUCCUUAAUCUGAGUUCUCAAAUAAUUAAUUGGCAACAAUGAGUAUGCUCUCGCUGCCUAAUCGAAGUACAGUAGAUUAAGGCUCAAUUUCGCUACCAGGUAGCGAAACGAGACGUCGCUCCGAGGAUGUUGUUCCGAAUCCAAAGAUCAAGCGGCGCAGGCUAAAUCGGAAAUAGCCUCUGUAGGCUCCGAUGCAGGGGUGAAAUUUAGGAGCUAAGGCUGUAGUUGGUGGCUUAGGUCUUGCUGCAGCACGAAAACCGAAGUCUAAGAUAAGCGUGUAGAAAGCGUAUGGUUUCCUUGUUCGGACGAGGGUUCGACUCCCUCCAGCUCCACUU
Molecule: transfer-messenger RNA, 399 nt
Filed under: Bacteroidaceae
Lineage: Bacteria; Pseudomonadati; Bacteroidota; Bacteroidia; Bacteroidales
Also listed under: 1 other name
Description: Prevotella sp017651265 Standard tmRNA
Rfam family: transfer-messenger RNA
About the family: Bacterial tmRNA, also known as 10Sa RNA or SsrA, is named for its dual tRNA and mRNA-like properties. Its role is to liberate the mRNA from a stalled ribosome.
Source: RNAcentral